RNAcentral lists this ribosomal RNA (433 nucleotides) under uncultured bacterium. RNAcentral's name for it is "partial 16S ribosomal RNA". It matches the Rfam family "Bacterial small subunit ribosomal RNA", at positions 29 to 507 of the family's 1533-position model. The record is from RNAcentral.
AGCGAACGCUGGCGGCAGGCCUAACACAUGCAAGUCGAACGAACUCUCCGGAGUUAGUGGCGGACGGGUGAGUAACACGUGGGAACGUGCCUUUUGGUUCGGAAUAACUCAGGGAAACUUGUGCUAAUACCGAAUGUGCCCUUCGGGGGAAAGAUUUAUCGCCAUUAGAGCGGCCCGCGUCUGAUUAGCUAGUUGGUGAGGUAACGGCUCACCAAGGCGACGAUCAGUAGCUGGUCUGAGAGGAUGACCAGCCACACUGGGACUGAGACACGGCCCAGACUCCUACGGGAAGCAGCAGUGGGGAAUCUUGCGCAAUGGGCGAAAGCCUGACGCAGCCAUGCCGCGUGAAUGAUGAAGGUCUUAGGAUUGUAAAAUUCUUUCACCGGGGACGAUAAUGACGGUACCCGGAGAAGAAGCCCCGGCUAACUUCGUG